Molecule: ribosomal RNA, 868 nt
Filed under: uncultured bacterium
Lineage: Bacteria
Description: bacterial SSU rRNA
Rfam family: Bacterial small subunit ribosomal RNA
Source: RNAcentral
GUUAANUCAGCGGUGAAAUCUAGGAGCUUAACUNCUAAAUUGCCAUUGAUACUGGCGGGCUUGAGUGUAGAUGAGGUAGGCGGAAUGCGUGGUGUAGCGGUGGAAUGCAUAGAUAUCACGCAGAACUCCGAUUGCGAAGGCAGCUUACUAAGGUACAACUGACGCUGAAGCACGAAAGCGUGGGUAUCAAACAGGAUUAGAUACCCUGGUAGUCCACGCAGUAAACGAUGAUAACUGGGCGUAUGCGAUAUACAGUAUGCUCCUAAGCGAAAGCGUUAAGUUAUCCACCUGGGGAGUACGCCGGCAACGGUGAAACUCAAAGGAAUUGACGGGGGCCCGCACAAGCGGAGGAACAUGUGGUUUAAUUCGAUGAUACGCGAGGAACCUUACCCGGGAUUGAAAUGUAGAUGACCGCCGGUGAAAGUCGGCUUCCCUUCGGGGCAUCUAUGUAGGUGCUGCAUGGUUGUCGUCAGCUCGUGCCGUGAGGUGUCGGCUUAAGUGCCAUAACGAGCGCAACCCCUGUCUACGGUUGCCAUCAGGUGAUGCUGGGAACUCCGUAGAGACUGCCGUCGUAAGGCGUGAGGAAGGUGGGGAUGACGUCAAAUCAGCACGGCCCUUACAUCCGGGGCGACACACGUGUUACAAUGGUAAGGACAAAGGGCAGCUACCUGGCGACAGGAUGCGAAUCUCUAAACCUUAUCACAGUUCGGAUCGGAGUCUGCAACUCGACUCCGUGAAGCUGGAUUCGCUAGUAAUCGCGCAUCAGCCAUGGCGCGGUGAAUACGUUCCCGGGCCUUGUACACACCGCCCGUCAAGCCAUGGGAGUCUGGAGUACCUAAAGUCCGUAACCGCAAGGGUCGGCCUAGGG